AUACGGAGGAUGCAAGCGUUAUCCGGAUUUAUUGGGUUUAAAGGGUGCGUAGGCGGUAUGCUAAGCGGGAGGUGAAAUGACGGCGGUCAACGUCGGAAGUGCCUCCCGCACUGGUGGACUUGAAUGACUCUGCCGAGGGAGGAAGGUGUAGAGUAGCGGGGAAAUGCUUAGAGAUUACACAGAACACCGAUUGCGAAGGCAUCUCACGAAGGGUUGAUUGACGCUGAGGCACGAAAGCGUGGGGAUCAAACAGGAUUAGAUACCCUGGUAGUCCACGCAGUAAACGAUGAUGGCUAACCGCUGGGCUUAUCAGUUCAGUGGCCAAGCGAAAGCGAUAAGCCAUCCCCCUGGGGAGUACGACCGCAAGGUUGAAGCUCAAAGGAAUUGACGGGG
RNAcentral lists this ribosomal RNA (393 nucleotides) under uncultured bacterium. Its description in RNAcentral is "partial 16S ribosomal RNA". It matches the Rfam family "Bacterial small subunit ribosomal RNA", at positions 523 to 918 of the family's 1533-position model. The record is from RNAcentral.